UACUUUGAGGGAAAGUUGAAAAGAACUUUGAAGAGAGAGUUCAAGAGUACGUGAAACCGUUAAGAGCCAAACGGGUGGGACCUCGAAGGUCGAACCGAGGGGAUUCCGCUCGUCGGCUCAAAGUCGGCCGAGUGUCGGGAUUCGCAGAUGCGACCCAGGAAAUCUUGGGCGUGCCCGCACUCGAGCCGGCGCCGGCGGGCGUAUUUCCCCUCGUGAUGUAGGUCGCCGCGACCCGUUGCUGGGGACGUCGAAGGCCCGGGCGGACUGGUACCCCGACGUUGUGCGCCUCGGUGCCUUCGAAGGGGGAAACCUCCGGUGUCCUGGCUGCCCUGCGACGGUCGUGUAGCAGAGGGGCGCAUCCACGCCAAGCAUUCCUCUCGCGGCGUGCAAAAGGUCGGUGACCCACCCGACCCGUCUUG
This 419-nucleotide ribosomal RNA is filed under the name Portunus sanguinolentus (three spot swimming crab). RNAcentral's name for it is "eukaryotic LSU rRNA". It matches the Rfam family "Eukaryotic large subunit ribosomal RNA", at positions 349 to 656 of the family's 3401-position model. The record is from RNAcentral. Lineage: Eukaryota; Metazoa; Arthropoda; Malacostraca; Decapoda; Portunidae.